Non-coding RNA from Pelobates cultripes (western spadefoot toad), 320 nucleotides. Lineage: Eukaryota; Metazoa; Chordata; Amphibia; Anura; Pelobatidae. The record is from the annotation of a GenBank genome assembly.
GUUAAAUUCACAGACCAUUUUUGUUUCACUACUGUAAACAUCCAACACAUAAGACUUGACAAAGGCCAUAGUUGGUGGCUGGAAUGUUGUCAUGGUGGCUUGCUUCCAUUAAAAUUUGACCUUUGAUACGUCUUGUGUGUUUUGGCCCUAUUUGACACUUUCUGGAGGAGUCUCAUAUUAUAAGCUGCAAAGGCUGGAUAUAAUAGCUCUGAAAAGAGUUCAUUAAGUCCACAAGGGUUAAAAUUUCUACUUUUCCCUAGCAACUGCCAGGUGAAGAUUUAACCAUCGAGUAGGAAUUUACCCAUGGUGAGUGUGCCAUG